Molecule: non-coding RNA, 1266 nt
Organism: Lactuca sativa (garden lettuce)
Lineage: Eukaryota; Viridiplantae; Streptophyta; Magnoliopsida; Asterales; Asteraceae
Source: RefSeq, a predicted model, not a curated record
CUCUCCUAAAACUCCACUAUGUUCCCCUCCUUUGCAGCACCAACAAGCCUUUCUCUUUCUCAUGAUCGAACGGCAUAUCAAAAUCCUUCCUCUAAUUCUUUUCAAUACCAUCCUGUGACCAACGAUGAUGACACAAAUGAACAUUUUUUUGAAGAUAUCUUGGAUAAUUAUCAUUCACUAAUCGAUCAACCAAGUUAUCAAGACUCUAUUCCUUUGGAUUUUGCAGCCCAUUUAAGUAGGAGUAAUGAGCAAGCUCCAGUCUUGCAAGAAAUGACCACAGUCGGAACUAGAUAUAACCAAGAUUAUAGUUGUUUGGAUUUCGCAGACUAUUUUAGAACAAAUGACCAAAAUAUGCACUUCCAAGAAACAAUCACAGCUGGUCCUUGUUUUGAAAAUACAGACAACUCCAUUAAAAUUUCCUUCAUGCCACGACCCAACAAUUUUCACAUGCAAGUGUUUUGUUGAUUUCUCGCUUGUUAUAUAUAUGUAUGUAUCAUAUAUAUCUAACUUUUUUUUUUAUCUUGCAACAUUAGAGAGGUCAUGAGAGAAAGGGUGCAUGCCGGAUUUAAGGUUGCCCUUCGUAUGAAGACCAACCUUGAGGUCGUGGAUGAUGGAUAUAAAUGGAGAAAGUAUGGGAAGAAGAAGGUUAAAAGCAGUCCUUAUCCAAGCCUAGGGAUUGAAGUGCGAAAUUCCACAUACGAAGGUCCAUGUUUCAAGUUUUGCAAUGCCCAAAAUAUUAUGAGUGCUCCGACCUCCCAUAUAAUGGACCUUGGGGCAGGUUCCGAAUAAUUUCUUUUGCAAACCAUCCAAUUAGUUGUUUUUCCUUUUAUGGGAGGGAGGAGGAAAAAAAAAAAAAGGAGCAAAAAAAAUAAGAUACUACCUCAUGUUUUUUAAUACAUAAGAAUUAUACCAUCAAUAUGAUUAAUGUAUGGAUAUUAACAUAUAACUCUUUUAAGCAUAAUGAGAUAUUAAAAUGCAUAUCUUGAUUCGGUCGAGAUAUAUUCACAUCAUUAGGUUUUAGCCUUUUAGGUAACAAGUUAUUCGGUGUCUUUUAACUGUGUCCAAUUAUUUCUACAUUAGUUCAAUCUCAAUCUCUUUGAAUAGUCCAUUUUGCUACAUCAAUAACUAAUUUAUAUUUUUAAUAAAUUUUUAAUUAUUUAUAAUUAGUAAUUAUUCGAUAAAUAUAUUUAUAUACCAACCGUCUUUUGUGUUUGAGUAUUUUUAUUUUUAUUUAUUGAUGUGAUUGAUGUUAGGAAAUAGCCUAUG